This 24-nucleotide non-coding RNA is filed under the name Arabidopsis thaliana (thale cress). Lineage: Eukaryota; Viridiplantae; Streptophyta; Magnoliopsida; Brassicales; Brassicaceae. The record is from RNAcentral.
GCAGCUAGAGGAUUUGUUGGGUAA